UAAGAUUUUAUAUGCUUCUUUACCAUAUUUAUUACUUAAUGUGAUACAUGUUCCGUUACUUUGCUAAUAUAUCUGAUUUAAUAUAUGUGUUAAUAUGAGCAGUAGCUAUUACUGAUUAUUGAAUAAAUCUGGUAAUUGAUUGAUCACCUAGUUAGGGCCCGUAUGCUGGCGGUUGUGCUUAUUGCACUUUUGUUACGCGGUGGGCCUUGGUAAGCGCCACAACUAACUAAUGUCGUGGGCUUUGAUAAGCGCCACACUAACUCUACGUGGGCCAUUUUAGUGCCACUAACUCUACGUGGGUCGUCAGCAUAUGUGAGCCGGGAACCCAAAUAAAAUAUGGAUAU
RNAcentral lists this long non-coding RNA (344 nucleotides) under Linum usitatissimum (flax). RNAcentral describes it as "long non-coding RNA (LUSI_LNC003237)". The record is from RNAcentral. Lineage: Eukaryota; Viridiplantae; Streptophyta; Magnoliopsida; Malpighiales; Linaceae.